Molecule: ribosomal RNA, 330 nt
Filed under: uncultured bacterium
Lineage: Bacteria
Description: bacterial SSU rRNA
Rfam family: Bacterial small subunit ribosomal RNA
Source: RNAcentral
UGUGUAGGCGGUUCUUUAAGUUUGGUGUGAAAUCUCCCGGCUUAACCGGGAGGGUGCGCCGAAUACUGAGGGACUAGAGUACGGGAGAGGAAAGUGGAAUUCCUGGUGUAGCGGUGAAAUGCGUAGAUAUCAGGAGGAACACCGGUGGUGUAGACGGCUUUCUGGACCGUAACUGACGCUGAGACACGAAAGCGUGGGUAGCAAACAGGAUUAGAUACCCUGGUAGUCCACGCCCUAAACGAUGCAUAUUUGGUGUGGGCAGUUCAUUCUGUCCGUGCCGGAGCUAACGCGUUAAAUAUGCCGCCUGGGGAGUACAGUCGCAAGGCUGAA